GUUCGAGCUGUGRUUGCCGUUGUUUGAGGGAGAGUGACCUGCCAGCAGAAGUUUACACUUUCUCUGAAUAGGAACAUUGAAUUUAUGUUUUGGAAGAAAGGGAAUUUUCACACCAUAAUAUUGCCAAAUUUAACAUAUGCCUUUCGUAUGUGUAAUUUAUAUGGAGUAAAUGGAAAUGGACCAGAAGCCAGACUUGGAAGCAACACUUCUGCAGCUUUUGAGAAUAAGCAAAUGAUCACCACUUGAAGUAACAGUAACGUUACUCCUCACCGAAUGAUACUGACGUGUAUUUGCACAAGCUAACUUGCUAAAUGUAAAGUGGAGUAACUAGGUGUUAAUUAACAAACUAUCCAGCCAGUUAGCUAGCUGCCAUGGAUAACUUUUCUAGACCAAGUGGAGAAAUUCAAAGAAAAAACCCACAGCAGGAUUUCGAGCUUAUUCAACGAGUUGGGAGCGGCACAUAUGGAGACGUAUACAAGGCUCGAAACAUCCAAACGGGAGAGCUUGCUGCUGUUAAGAUUAUUAAACUGGAGCCAGGGGAUGACUUUCCAUCAUCCAGCAGGAGAUCUUCAUGGUGAAGGAAUGCAUGCACCACAACAUAGUGGCCUACUUCGGGAGCUA
This is a long non-coding RNA of Salvelinus sp. IW2-2015, 621 nucleotides long. RefSeq lists it as uncharacterized. Lineage: Eukaryota; Metazoa; Chordata; Actinopteri; Salmoniformes; Salmonidae. The record is from RefSeq and is a predicted model, not a curated record.